CCUUCUGCCAAGUGAAAGUAUAGCAAAAAGAUGGCUAUCUAUGAACCAGGAAGUGGCCCUCACCAAACACUAAAUCUGUGGGUGCCUUGAUCUUGGACUUCUGGUCUCCAGAACUGUGAGAAAUAAAUUUCUGUUGUUUACAAGCUGUGCGAUUUAUAGUGGUUUAUUACAGCAGCCUGAAUGCACGGAGAUUUCUUCACUCAACAUCCCCAAGAAGCGGUGGAACAAUUUGGUAGUAAAAGUCACCGAGAGUGGGAGCAGCCAGUUCAUGUUUGUGCAAACGCCCUGUUCCUGCUCUCUCACCUCACACCUGUUUCCUUCCUUCAGGUCUUCUCAUCUACACCCUGCCUUUCUUGAGGUCAGAUGCUGUCCCCCGUACUUGGACACUCUUCCCUCACUUCUUUUACCCAGUGAGCUCUUGUUUUUAUUCUCCAGGCCUCAAUUUACAUAUCUCCAGCUUUCUCUAAGAUUUCCUCCCUGCUCUUCCCGGACAAGCCCAGGUUGCCAGCCCCAGCGUGGUCUCCUGCCCCCUCUACUCACGCUCCUUAGAACUCUUGCCCUUGUUGCUACUAUCUGUCCCGCACCUCUCUUUCCCACCAGACCUUGAGAAGAAGAAAGACCGAGACUGGAUGUUGCCACUGUUGGAUCUCCAGCACUGGGUCCAGUUUCAGAGCAGACCAGACCCUCCGCAUACACCGGCUGGAUGCGGGAAGAGAGGCGCUCCGAGCACCACAGGAAGGGAGUCUAGGAAGGGCCCCACCUCACCCUGAGCAUGUGUUCCUGACAUUUCAUUGUGAGCCAGGGGAAUAAACAAAACCCACCCCCUGAGUCCAGCGAAGGACGCCUUCGGGGGAUCUCUGAACUCCAGGCAGAUAAGUGUUUUUCCCACUCAGGGCCCCCCUUGUGCGCUGUGGUUUUUCCUGAGCUUACAUGACACCACUGUAAGGGAGAUGGAUGGCUUUAUUUUUGUGCAGAACAAAUGUACAGAUGGUGACCCCCCGACCAAAAGAAAAAGAAAAAAAUGAGUGUGCAGAGGCGGGAGGAGGAGGCAGGGGGAAUCCAUGUUUGCCUCUCUUCUCCCUAUCUUUUCACUUCUCCUGGGUCUCCUGAAAAUGUCGCCAAAGGCCCCAUCUGUGGUUACUGGAGAUAGUGACAGGAGCCCAUUUUCUUUUCAAAUUAUCUGUUCAUCGAGGUAAAAAUAAGGACAUGCUUUUAGAAUUUUAAGGCAAUUGUAAGAAGUUAUAAGGAAGAAAGAUGAUGUCUGGUACAAAUUAGAACUCAAUAAAUAUUUGUGGAAGGAAGAAAAGAAAAAAAAUCCCUCCAAACCCCACUCCUAUCAAUAUUUUGAUGAGCAUUCGUCUAUAUAUUUAUGUGUAUUCCAACUACAUAACAAACAGGAUCAUACUAUAUUCAGAUAUAACAUAUUCAUGCUUUCUAUAGAUGCAUAAUAAAUGCAGCACAAUUACUAUAUUUACUAUUUACUGCUGAAUUUAUAUAGAAUGAUUACUAUGUAUGUGAACAUCAUACAUUUAUACUGUAUACACACAUAUAGUAUGUAUUUACAUAGAAUGAUUACUAUGUAUGUGAACAUCAUACAUUUAUACUGUAUACACACAUGUAGUAUGUAUUUACAUAGAACGAUUACUAUGUAUGUGAACAUCAUACAUUUAUAUUGUAUACACACACAUGUAGUAUGUAUUUACAUAGAACGAUUACUAUGUAUGUGAACAUCAUACAUUUAUAUUGUAUACACACACAUGUAGUAUGUAUUUACAUAGAACGAUUACUAUGUAUGUGAACAUCAUACAUUUAUACUGUAUACACACAUGUAGUAUGUAUUUACAUAGAACGAUUACUAUGUAUGUGAACAUCAUACAUUUAUACUGUAUACACACACAUGUAGUAUGUAUUUACAUAGAACGAUUACUAUGUAUGUGAAAAUCAUACAUUUAUAUUGUAUACACACACAUGUAGUAUGUAUUUACAUAGAACGAUUACUAUGUAUGUGAACAUCAUACAUUUAUACUGUAUACACACACAUGUAGUAUGUAUUUACAUAGAACGAUUACUAUGUAUGUGAACAUCAUACAUUUAUACUGUAUACACACACAUGUAGUAUGUAUUUACAUAGAACGAUUACUAUGUAUGUGAACAUCAUACAUUUAUAUUGUAUACACACACAUGUAGUAUGUAUUUACAUAGAACGAUUACUAUGUAUGUGAACAUCAUACAUUUAUAUUGUAUACACACACAUGUAGUAUGUAUUUACAUAGAACGAUUACUAUGUAUGUGAACAUCAUACAUUUAUAUUGUAUACACACACAUGUAGUAUGUAUUUACAUAGAACGAUUACUAUGUAUGUGAACAUCAUACAUUUAUACUGUAUACACACACAUAUAGUAUGUAUUUACGUAGAACGAUUACUAUGUAUGUGAACAUCAUACAUUUAUACUGUAUACACACACAUGUAGUAUGUAUUUACGUAGAACGAUUUACUAUGUAUGUGAACAUCAUACAUUUAUACUGUAUACACACACAUAUAGUGUGUAUUUACAUAGAACGAUUACUAUGUAUGUGAACAUCAUACAUUUAUAUUGUAUACACACACAUAUAGUGUGUAUUUACAUAGAACGAUUACUAUGUAUGUGAACAUCAUACAUUUAUACUGUAUACACACACAUGUAGUAUGUACUACAUGACAUUGUACUAUCCUGUAUUGUACUAUAGUGUAUGCUGCAAUGGUUUUUUGUUUGUUUUUGAGAUGGAGUCUUGCCCUGUCGCCCAGGCUGUGGUGCAGUGGUGAAAUCUCAGCUCAUUGCAACCUCUGCCUCACAGGUUCAAGCAGUUCUCCUGCCUCAGCCUCCUGAGUAGCUGGGAUUACAGGCACGCACUAGCGUGCCUGGCUAAUUUUUGUAUUUUUAGUAGAGACAAGGUUUCACCAUGAUGGCCAAGCUGGUCUUGAACUCCUGACCUCAAGUGAUCCUCCCACCUCAGCCUCUUAAAGUGCUGGGAUUACAGGCACGAACCACUGCGCCCCGCUAGUAUAUGCUACUAUGCUCUAAAAAGUGCAUGCUCCUGUUAUACUUACAGACAGGAUCGUACUGUUUGAGGUGUUUCACCAUUGGCUUUUUUGUUUACCAUGCCCUGGACAUCUUUCCAUGUCUAUGAAUUUUAGAGCAAAUUCAUCCCAUUUCAAGGCUGCCAAGUAGCUAUUUGUGUGACUGUGCUAUCCCUUACUUAACCACUCCAAGAGAGCCACUUGUGAAACCCCCACCUUAAAGUAAUCUCAUACUUCAAUUUUUAUUCUCUUGUGACUCUAUCUCUCUGCUGUCUUGUAGCCAUAUACAUUCGAGGUCAGAGUUUUCUACUCCCUCAGUUGCAAAGUUGUCAGUAUCAGGACAAGGGGUACACAUUUGCAGAAAUCUUUUUGUAUUUCUCUGUGGUGCUUUGGUUUGAACCAAAUAGUCCUCUCCUCUCUGCCUUCACCCACCUAAUUAAUUUCCACAAUUUUUUUUUUUUUUUUUUUGUGAUGGCGAUGACUGUAUCAGGCUUUAAAAGGAUGGUAUCUGGAGAUUCAUAGUUUUUCAAAAGCUCUUUGUUUUUUUCUGAUGAACAGCCAGAACUAAGAAACAGGAAGGCAUAGAAAGAACAUGGUCUCUCAUGUUCAAAGGGGCCAAAUUCUUGUUCGACCUUUGACCUUCCAUUAAACAGUUUCCUCAUCUGCACAACUUGGGAAAUUAUAACUGAAAUUACCUUGCAGUGUUAUUAUGAGGAUUACGGGUAAGUAAGUGCCUGACACACAGAACUGCCUUAGCAAUGUCAGCUUCUGUUUUUGAGAGUGGUGGGAAGCAGGAGACAAAAGGUUCUGGAAUGAACCAUAUCUGCAUUUGAAUCUGAGCUCAGCUUCUAUUUUUUAUUAUUUUUAAAAUUAUUAAAAAAUUAUUUUUGUUUUUAUUUUUAUUUUUUGAGACAGUCUUGCUCUGUCACCCAGGCUGGAGUGCAUGCGGCACAAACAUGGCUCACUGCAGCCUCUACCUCCCAGACUCAAGCAAUCCCCCCACUUUAGCCUUCUUAGUAGCUGGGAUUACAGAUAUGCACCACCAUGACUGGCUAAUUUCUUAAUUUUUAGUAGAGACAGGGUCUCACUAUGUUGCCCCAGGCAGGUCUCAAGCUCCUGGUCUCAAUCUAUCCUCCCGCCUUGGCCUCCCAGAGUACUGAGAUUACAGGCAUGAGCCAUGGUGCCUGACCCUUUUAAAAUUCUUUUGUAGAGACAGAGGUCUCACUUGCUAUACUGCCUAGGCUGGUCUCAAACUCCUGGCCUCAAGCAAUCCUCCAGUUUUGGCCUCCCAAAGUGCUGGAAUUACAGGCAUAAGUCACCAUGUAUGGCCUUCACCUCUCCAGGUUCUCCCACUGAUGCCAGCAGACCCCGUGCUGAGUCUGGCUUUGAAGAGAAUUGAAGAAUUGGGUUAGAACUCCAUCUGAUGCUGACCUGGCCUGGCCUCCAAACACUGCUUCUCCCACCACUCCUAAGAUUAAGCAACUACUUCUGUGUUUGGGGAAGAGCUGUCGCACCUACCUGAACGCUCACUGUAGAGGGUUUAACUCUUGUUUUCGUUUCUUCAUAAUUCAUUCUCUCAUUCUUUGUCUUGAUUAUCUUUCCAGUAUGCUCCCUAUGCUGUUCUUUCUUUUUCUGAAUAUAUAAGUAAAAUACUUUCUUUGUUGAAAAUUCAGAAUAUACCAAAGAGACUUUAGAAGAAAGUAAAUAUCACCCAUAAUCCCAACACUAAGCGAUAAUAACCACUCUAACAUUUAGGUAUAUUUUCUUCUUUUUUUCUAUGCAUUUAUGUGUCUUUUAAAAAUAUUAAGACUGUACUAUAUAUAUAACUUGUUUUAAAAAAUAUUUGAUUUUUGAACAGAUAGUA
Molecule: non-coding RNA, 4922 nt
Organism: Callithrix jacchus (white-tufted-ear marmoset)
Lineage: Eukaryota; Metazoa; Chordata; Mammalia; Primates; Cebidae
Source: RefSeq, a predicted model, not a curated record